GGAUUAGAUACCCUGGUAGUCCACGCCGUAAACGAUGUCUAUUAGGAGGUUGUGAGCUUGACUCGUGGCUUCCAAAGCUAACGCAUUAAAUAGACCGCCUGGGGAGUACGGCCGCAAGGUUAAAACUCAAAUGAAUUGACGGGGGCCCGCACAAGCGGUGGAGCAUGUGGUUUAAUUCGAUGCAACGCGAAGAACCUUACCUACUCUUGACAUCCAGAGAACUUUCCAGAGAUGGAUUGGUGCCUUCGGGAACUCUGAGACAGGUGCUGCAUGGCUGUCGUCAGCUCGUGCCG
RNAcentral lists this ribosomal RNA (293 nucleotides) under uncultured bacterium. RNAcentral describes it as "partial 16S ribosomal RNA". It matches the Rfam family "Bacterial small subunit ribosomal RNA", at positions 775 to 1067 of the family's 1533-position model. The record is from RNAcentral.